RNAcentral lists this RNase MRP RNA (238 nucleotides) under Cucumis sativus (cucumber). RNAcentral describes it as "SRP RNA RNase_MRP". It matches the Rfam family "RNase MRP". From Rfam's summary of the family: RNase MRP is an enzymatically active ribonucleoprotein with two distinct roles in eukaryotes. In mitochondria it plays a direct role in the initiation of mitochondrial DNA replication. In the nucleus it is involved in precursor rRNA processing, where it cleaves the internal transcribed spacer 1 between 18S and 5.8S rRNAs. The record is from Rfam by way of RNAcentral. Lineage: Eukaryota; Viridiplantae; Streptophyta; Magnoliopsida; Cucurbitales; Cucurbitaceae.
UUGCCGUGGGAUAGAGUGAUCGGGUCAAAGCUUCUACUAGAAGUUAAACUCAGGAAAGUCCUCGGGCCGUCACCCGUAGAAAUACGGAUUCGGUAACGAAUUCAGCCUUGUGAGCCCAUUGGGUGCUGAGACACGUGUGGAGCAUUAAAGCCCAAUGGGCCAAAGGUUAAUUGGCCAAAUUAACAGUUAUUCACUCAGCCCCUUUGGGGCUACAGAACGGGGCUUACUUCUCACGGCA